This 106-nucleotide microRNA precursor is filed under the name Picea abies (Norway spruce). Its description in RNAcentral is "miR393c stem-loop (pab-MIR393c)". Its record names the gene pab-MIR393c. The record is from miRBase by way of RNAcentral. Lineage: Eukaryota; Viridiplantae; Streptophyta; Pinopsida; Pinales; Pinaceae.
UCUUGCAUAUUGGAUAAUUCCAAAGGGAUUGCAUUGAUUCAUCGCAAAAAUAGCAGGAGCUGGAUGAUGAAUCAUGCACUCUCUUUGGAAUCUUCCAGUAUGAAGA